GCCGCGGUAGCUCAGUGGUAGAGCAGUAGCUUGAAGAGCUUCGUGUCGGGGGUUCGAUUCCCUCCCGCGGCACCA
Molecule: transfer RNA, 75 nt
Filed under: bacterium
Lineage: Bacteria
Description: tRNA-Phe
Rfam family: tRNA
About the family: Transfer RNA (tRNA) molecules are approximately 80 nucleotides in length. Their secondary structure includes four short double-helical elements and three loops (D, anti-codon, and T loops).
Source: RNAcentral